UUACAGACGGACAUACCAUCCAUUCGCAAGUGGUGGUGUCUGCAGAUUCUGGAGAAAUUUUCGAUCACUAGGCAUGGGCAGGACUUUGGACAGCGCUUUGCCUUUUGGACCGAGGAGGCAAAACAGCUUAUGGCAGGCACCCUACAACCUAUAUAUAGGAUUCUUCGGUCCCACAAAGUUAAGGAGGAGCAGGUAGAAGUGGAGGACCUUCCCUUGAUACUGAGGGACAUGCAUUCAGCUGCAUAUGUGCUGAGACCUUCCCUUCAUACUGAGGGACAUGCACUCAGCAGCAUAUGUGCUGAGGAGCAGCCCUGGGCUGUUCACGUUCACUGGGUGGGUGCAUGAACCAUCCUACAUGUCGAUGGAUCACGAAGACCAAAUGAAUGCUUGGAGGGUGUCGCAGGACACAACUAAGUGGGAUGCAAAGGAGCCAUUCACAUUCACAUUUGAGACU
This is a long non-coding RNA of Alosa sapidissima (American shad), 454 nucleotides long. RefSeq lists it as uncharacterized. NCBI's taxonomy places the organism in Eukaryota, Metazoa, Chordata, Actinopteri, Clupeiformes, Clupeidae. The transcript has 3 exons. The record is from RefSeq and is a predicted model, not a curated record.